This is a non-coding RNA of Salmo salar (Atlantic salmon), 68 nucleotides long. The record is from Rfam. NCBI's taxonomy places the organism in Eukaryota, Metazoa, Chordata, Actinopteri, Salmoniformes, Salmonidae.
CCCUGUGGCUCAGUUGGUAAAGCAUGGUGUGUGCAACGCCAGGGUUGUGGGUUCGAUUCCCACAGGGG